GGGGAUGUUUAUGGAUUCGUCAAGGUAACAAUGGUCUAAUAAGCAUGUCUUGGUUACGCAAGUAAAAACGUCGAGGUUUUCUAAUAAACGGAAACAAAUCAAUUUAUAAUUUUGGUGGACAACCAAGAUUACAACUAGCAGCUUAAGAUAAAGUCUGCGACCAAUCUAGAAAUGCUUACGGUCUAGUGAGGUAAGAGAGUAAGAUAUAUUUGUAGUUCUGCCGCCUUAAGGCUAUAAACGAAUUUUCAAGGCUCGCUUUAUCGUAAUGUUCCUUUUCAAUACUUUAAAGUUAAAGCCCCUAAAAGGAUAAACAUGUAGAAAUUUAGAUGCAUUCUUGUUUUGCACAGGGGUUCGACUCCCCUCAUCUCCACCA
This 373-nucleotide transfer-messenger RNA is filed under the name Acholeplasma sp. It matches the Rfam family "transfer-messenger RNA". From Rfam's summary of the family: Bacterial tmRNA, also known as 10Sa RNA or SsrA, is named for its dual tRNA and mRNA-like properties. Lineage: Bacteria; Bacillati; Mycoplasmatota; Mollicutes; Acholeplasmatales; Acholeplasmataceae. RNAcentral also lists the same sequence under 2 other names. The record is from RNAcentral.